AUGGUCUCGACUUGUCAUGUUUCUAGGUGCUCGAAUUCAAAGAGUAAACUUUAAGCGGGAGUGAGUUACUUUUGAUUUCCGAUAAGGGUUCCAAGGCUUUGUAGGCAGUGGCUAAUGGCAGCAAAGACUCCAAAAGUAAAUAUGGAGAGAAUUCCACGAAAAACUGUGUUUGGAGUCAACGCUUCCAACUGGAUGGCCACAAACAUAGUGUUUUAGGCCAAAUGAAGGGGAAAAUCUGAAAGAAACUGCCAUUCCAUCAGUCCUGCCAGAAGCAAAAUAGUGUUGCAUACAGCUGGGAGUUGAAGGUGACCACAGCAGUAGAAUCAUAUAGUCACUGCCACCAUGGACCUAAUUAGAACCUUCCACUGACCCCUAGUGAGAGCGAACGGGAGACGUCACACGCCUCGACCAACAAGACAGACCCGUCCUGAGGCGUUUCCCCAUGUCCGCACUCUCAGAUACAAAUGUCUGUACAAAAAGUCUGCGGUCGUGUCCUUGUUAUGGAUUUGCCAACCUUUCUUUGGAUUUUCUAGGGCUCAAGCCUUAGAGCUCCUUUCAGAGGAAAUGAGCAAAAGAUCUGAGAUUUGCUGCCUGUGGCCACACAGAGAGAUUUGAUAUGAAGAGACAAGGCGAGAAGCGAUCUGGUAAAGGAGGGAGGGAGGAGUCUGUCAUUGUUGGGUCAGAACAGUUGAUCAGCCUCAAGGCCUGCAACUGCAAGCUGUGAAGGAGUUGCAUCAUUGGAAUUGCUGCCAGGGCAAAGAAGCGCAAGAGAUAAAGGCAGCAAUGAAUGGAUGGUAGAUUGAAAUGAUGGAAGAGUGGGAACAAAGAUAGAAAGCUGCAUAACAAUGAGCUCCUUGCUUCUCCUGCAUGCGUUCCUGAACCUGAAAGAAGUGGCAAACUGUGAGUGCCCUUGUCAAAAAAAAGUACCCAUAACUGCUGGAGAAGUCUCCUGCUGUUACAAGGAA
Pimephales promelas (fathead minnow) is the source of this 965-nucleotide long non-coding RNA. RefSeq lists it as uncharacterized. NCBI's taxonomy places the organism in Eukaryota, Metazoa, Chordata, Actinopteri, Cypriniformes, Leuciscidae. The record is from RefSeq and is a predicted model, not a curated record.